RNAcentral lists this non-coding RNA (698 nucleotides) under Pan troglodytes (chimpanzee). The record is from RNAcentral. Lineage: Eukaryota; Metazoa; Chordata; Mammalia; Primates; Hominidae.
CCCUGUCGGGUUUUACCUCCCCCUGGGAGAGCUCAGCCCUGGAUCCCGGCGUGCGGCGGAGCCUCUCUGGAGCCCGGACGGGACAGCCCACCAGGGUCUGCUUCUGUGAGGGGCCGAGGCGUCAUUCCGCGAAGGCUCUUCAUUCGAUGGACAAAAACCACAAGAUUAUCUAAACAGAUGCAGAAAAGGCCUUCAAUAAAAAUCCUCAUUCCUUCAUGUUAAAAACUCUCAAUAAACUAGGUAUUGAAGGAACAUACCUCAAAAUAAUAAGAGCCAUUUAUGACAAACUCACAGCCAGUGUCCUUACUGAAUGGGCAAAAGCUGAAAGCAUUCCCCUUGAAAACCAGCACAAGACAAGUUUGCCCUCUAUCCCAACCCCUAUUCAAUAUAGUAUUGGAAGUUAUGGCCACGGCAAUCGGGCAAGAGAAAAAAAUGAAGAGUAUUUAAAUGGGAAAAGAGGAAGUCAAACUAUCUUUUUUUGCAGAAGACAUAAUCCUAUAUUUAGAAAACCCAUUGUCUCAACCCAAAAGCUUCUUAAGCUGAUAAGCAACUUCAGCAAAGUCUCAGGAUAAAAAAUCAAAGUGCAAAAAUUGCUAUACACCAACAACAGGCAAGCCAAGAGCCAAAUCAUGAAUGAGCUUUGAUUCACAAUCGCUACAAAAAGAACAAAAUACCUAGGAAUACAGCUAACAAGGGAA